Molecule: ribosomal RNA, 403 nt
Filed under: uncultured bacterium
Lineage: Bacteria
Description: partial 16S ribosomal RNA
Rfam family: Bacterial small subunit ribosomal RNA
Source: RNAcentral
AUUGAACGCUGGCGGCAGGCCUAACACCUGCAAGUCGAGCGAGCGGCGGACGGGUGAGUAAUGUAUGGGGACUGACCGAUAGAGGGGGAGAACUAAUGGAAACGGUAGCUAAGACCGCAUCCUAUCGAAUAACCCAUAUGGGAUUAGCUAGUAGGUUAGGUAAUGGCUAACCUAGGAGACGCUCACUAGCUGGUCUGAGAGGAUGAUCAGACACACCGGGACUGCGAAGCGGCCCAGACUCCUACGGAGGCAGCAGUGGGUAAUAUUGCACAAUGGGCGAAAGCCUGAUGCAGCGAUGCCGCGUGUAGGAAGAAGGUCCUAGGGUUGUAAAGUACUUGCAGUCGGUAGGCGUUACCGACAGAAGAAGCACCGGCUAACUCCGUGCCAGCAGCCGCGGUAAUUC